This 1036-nucleotide long non-coding RNA is filed under the name Salmo trutta (river trout). Its description in RNAcentral is "lncRNA (ENSSTUG00000007955.1)". Lineage: Eukaryota; Metazoa; Chordata; Actinopteri; Salmoniformes; Salmonidae. The record is from RNAcentral.
CGGGAACUGUAACACGCUGUAGUAUAUAUGGAUCCAGAGCAUCCCACACGUGCUCAAUGGGUGACAUGUCUGGUGAGUAUGCAGGUCAUGGAAAAACUGGGACUUUUUCAGCUUCCAGGGAUUGUGUACAGAUCCUUGUGACAUGGGGCCGUGCAUUAUCAUGAGGUGAUGGGGGCGGAUGAAUAACAACAAUGGGCCUCAGGAACUCGUCACAGUAUCUCUGUGCAUUGAAAUUGCCAUCGAUAAAAUGCAAUUGUGUUCAUUGUUCUUAGCUUAUGCCUGCCCAUACCAUAACCCCACCGCCACCAUGGGGCACUCUGUUCACAACGAUGACAUCUGCAAACCGCUCGCCCACACGACAUCUGUCAUCUGCCCGGUACAGUUGAAACCGGGAUUCAUCUGUGAAGGGCACACUAUUUCAGUGUGCCAGUGGCCAUUGAAGGUGAGCAUUUUCCCGCUGAAGUUGGUUACAAUGCCGAACUGCAGUCAGGUCAAGACCCCGGUGAGGACGACGACCACGCAGAUGAGUGUCCCCGAGACGGUUUCUGACAGUUUGUGCAGAAAUUCUUCAGUUGUGCAAACCCAGAGUUUCAUCAGCUGCCCGGGUAGCUGGUCUCAGACCAUCCUGCAGGUGAAGAAGCCAGAUGUGGAGGUCCUGGGCUGGCGUGGAUACACGUGGUCUGCGGUUGUGAGGCUGGUUGAACGUACUGCCAAAUUCUCUAAAACAACGUUGGAGGCGGCUUAUGGUAGAGAAACAUUACAUUCUCUGGCAACCGCUCUGGUGGAGAUUCCUGCAUCAUUCAGCAUGCCAAUCACACCAAUCUGUGACAUUUGUAGAGUGGCCUUUUAUUGUCCCCAGCACAAGGUGCACCUGUGUAAUGAUCAUGCUGUUUAAUCAGCUUCUUGAGAUGCCACACCUGUCAGGUGGAUGGAUUAUCAUGGCAAAGGAGAAAUGUUCACUAACAGGAAUGUUAACAAAUUUGUGCACAACAUUUGAGAAAAAUAAGCUUUUUGUGCGACUGGAAAACGUCUGGGA